Ictalurus furcatus (blue catfish) is the source of this 3210-nucleotide RNA transcript. It is a transcript of the gene named B-cell receptor CD22, with no coding region annotated. NCBI's taxonomy places the organism in Eukaryota, Metazoa, Chordata, Actinopteri, Siluriformes, Ictaluridae. The record is from RefSeq and is a predicted model, not a curated record. The transcript is spliced from 8 exons.
CAAAUGAAUCUUAUGCUAAUGACAUUAUGCUAGCAUCCACUCAUACUUAGCACCAUGAGCAUUAUUCUAUUUCAUACUUGAUCAAUGAUGGGUCAUGUGUAAUAUUAUGAAUAUUUAUUUACCCCCCCCCCCCCCCCUUUACUUGUUUGUGACUGUUUCCAUCCUUUUCAUAAAUAAAGUCUCUGAGCAAGAAUGACUGUGUUUUCUGAAGCUGCUUUUUAUCUAUAGCUUACACAUGGCAGGGAGGAGUAGUGUAUAGGCCUAGAGACUUUCCCAUCUCUUACACACACACACACAGGCACAAAAUGUACCUUAGUAUAUUAAAAGCUCAAGCUGAAGUUAAAAUGCCAGCAGUAAAGUGAAAGAGCCAGGAAUGAGCCACGGUCUGUUGUUACUUCUGAUGUCAGUCAUAUUUUUGUCUGGUCAUGUGAUCAUUAAUGAUGGAUCCACUCUCAGGCCAGAACUUACUGGGCCUAGUAUGGCCUUCCUUAAAUCUACAGUAAAGUUUGAAUGUAAGCUGUCAGAUUCACCAUCACCGGUGACCUUUGAACUUAUAAAGGGCAAUGACGAGGUCCUUGCCACAAAAAAUGGUCCAAUCACAUUUCCUCUAAAAGUCAGAAAUGGGUCAGAGGGCGAGUAUUUUUGCAGAGUGACAGCAAGAAAUCACACAAGCACAAGCAACCCAGUGCACUUACAAGUAGUGAUUCCUGUCCUAGGUGCCUCCUUAGUCCCAGAACCCAGCCCGCCUGUCAUCUAUGAGGGGGCGGGGUUUAAUCUGAGCUGUAAGACCAAAAUGGGGUCUCACCUCAAAUACUCAUGGUACCACAACAAGCAAGAAGUGACCUCACCCUCGCCUCUUCAUCAUUUUGUUGGAAACAUGCUGACAGUGGAUAGGGCUGUUGAAAGGCAUGCUGGGACAUACUCAUGUGAGGCCCAAAACAAGAUGGAGAACAAUUCUAGAGUCUCCAACAGUAUGCCAGUCACCGUCGUGGUAAAAAAAUAUCUGUCAGCUCCCAGGCUGUCAUUCACACUUUUCCAUGAUGGCUCGGGCUACUAUGCUAACAUCAGCUGUCGGUUGUCCUAUGGAAGCCCUCCAGUGAUGUUCCAACUGCUCCUAAAUGGGAAGCGUGUUGAUAUGCAGCAAGUGGAUUUACUGGAAGCUUGGUUUUCUCAGCCUGUCACUGUAGGACUGGAUAUGGGUACAGUACAGUGCAUAGCAAAAAAUGACAUCCAGCAGCUUUUCAGUAACUCAGUAGAUCUGGAAGUUGUUCCGGUAAUGGGGACUGCACAUGUCCAAGUGGAGUAUCUCCAUAAAGCAGACUCUGUAGUAGCGGCUGCCCUGCUCCAGUGUAUGAUCACCAUGGGGACUUUUCCUAUCUACUCAUGGUCCUUCAACGGCUCCACCGUACCCCUGGAGGCCAAUUCCCCUACUUUUAUCCAACAUAACCAGGUCCUAGUUCUCACACACCUCAGCCCUGGGAACUUGGGGUAUUACAGCUGUCGAGUGAGGGACAGUUUCAACUCUAACUCAUCCUGGGUGGAGAGUGAGAAGGUCUUGGUGAAGAUGACAGUUGGCGGUUUGAAUCCUGCCUCUGCCCUGUGCCCAUGGAGCUUGCAUGUUCUCCCCGUGCCUCUGGGAUUUCCUCCGGGUACUCCCCGAGUCCAAAGACAUGCAUUGAAGGUUGACUGGCAUUUAGUCCGUAGUGUGUGAAUGUGCCCUGCGAUGGGUUGGCACCCCAUUCAGGAUGUCCCCUGCCUUGGCACAGAAAAUGGACAGAUGGAUGAAAUCAACCAGGUAUUUUUAGGAUGCAGUCAUUAUUCCACUGACUUUGUCGAACCCCGGUAACCCCUAUCACCACACUCUAAAGGUAGUCUGUUUAGCUAGUUCACAUAAAAGUAGCACUAUGUCAGCAGUCGAAAAGACUGCAUCACUCAAGUAUCAGGCUAUAAAACACUAAACUUUAUGUUAACAUGAGCUAGGUAUGACUGAUUAAGCUAGCUAAUGGUCAUUAAGAUUGGGUCUGAAUUAAAUAUUGAACUCACCCCAUAACUAACACUAUUAAAUGUUAUAGCACCUCAGUGGAUUUCAAGAAUGAUUCAAAGAAAUAUGUAGCAAACACUACAACAAACUAGAGUAUUCAAUGGACAACGACCAGGCAAAGUAAAUACAAAGUAGUAAUGAAUACACAAGCACUAACUACACAGAGGUAACUUGAUCAGCAUAUCAACUAAGGAAGAUGAAAACCAAUAAGAAUACAGUGAGAUUGGAUCUUUUAUUUUUUGUGACAAGAUGCUUAUUAACUCUGCUGCUUUUACUGUCAAGAAGCCAUUGCAAUACUGGAUCAUAUUUUGCAAGAAGUGCACUAAGAUAGGAGGAAAACAUGACAGGUUAUACUGUUACAGGAAAAUAAUCAGCCAAGAACAUGGGUAUGAUGUGGCCUGACAUGAAGUUGCAUUUACAGUUACAGUUACCACAAAAAAAGUGAGAGGUAAUUUUUUUUUCUGAUAACAGAUUUUCUAAUAACAAUAUCCAAUAUCAAAUUUUUCAAUAAGAGCACAUCCCAAAAUGUUUAAUUCCUCUUAUACCAAAGCAAAUUUUAUUCUGUUUAACGUUGUGGAACAUCUGUGAAUAAUGUUAGUUCCACUUACGUUAUAGCAUUUAUAAACAGUUAUUCUCUCAUCAGCCUUUUUGUUUCCUCUGGUGAAUUGAAUAAGGCAAGAAAUAAAUAAUCCAGCGUCUGUUGUCCCCAAGAAACCACAGACUGCAAAGCCCUCCAACCUUACGAAUGUACUCUGUUGGAAAACAGUUACAGUUAACAGUUAAAAAAAAGUUACAGUUUUAGCUCUGACUGUUUCAAAGCACUAACACUGGAGACUCCUUCCAAACAUGCUAAAGAAAUGUUGCCUGUGUAGAGCUCCGCCCCUGUGUAAGUUAGUCUAGAAACAAUAAGAUAUUAGAAAAAGGGCAUAACUAUGCAAAUCAAGGAUGUAUGCCUGAUUCUUUAUUAUUCAGCAUUUUUCAGUACAGUCCUUAUCACUGCUCUGUGGUACAUUCUCUUAAAGAUUUUGACAUGACACGAAUAGAGGUCGUAGCUGUGGUCUUCUGCUGCUUCCUGUUUGUGAUGAUGGUGGGAGGAGCUUGCUGUCUCUUCUGGAUCAUAAACUCUGAGCCUGUAAUGACAGACAACCACCAUCAUGUACACUGCCAUG